GACGAACGCUGGCGGCGUGCUUAACACAUGCAAGUCGAACGGAAAGGCCCUGCUUUUGUGGGGUGCUCGAGUGGCGAACGGGUGAGUAACACGUGAGUAACCUGCCCUUGACUUUGGGAUAACUUCAGGAAACUGGGGCUAAUACCGGAUAGGAGCUCCUGCUGCAUGGUGGGGGUUGGAAAGUUUCGGCGGUUGGGGAUGGACUCGCGGCUUAUCAGCUUGUUGGUGGGGUAGUGGCUUACCAAGGCUUUGACGGGUAGCCGGCCUGAGAGGGUGACCGGCCACCUUGGGACUGCGAUACGGCCCAGACUCCUACGGGCGGCAGCAGUGGGGAAUAUUGCACAAUGGGCGGACGCCUGAUGCAGCAACGCCGCGUGCGGGAUGCCGGCCUUCGGGUUGUAAACCGCUUUCGCCUGUGACGAAGCGUGAGUGACGGUAAUGGGUAAAGAAGCACCGGCUAACUACGUG
This 468-nucleotide ribosomal RNA is filed under the name uncultured bacterium. RNAcentral's name for it is "partial 16S ribosomal RNA". It matches the Rfam family "Bacterial small subunit ribosomal RNA", at positions 28 to 507 of the family's 1533-position model. The record is from RNAcentral.